CGGGUGAGGAACACGUGGGUAACCUGCCCAUAAGACUGGGAUAACUCCGGGAAACCGGGGCUAAUACCGGAUAACAUUUUGAACCGCAUGGUUCGAAAUUGAAAGGCGGCUUCGGCUGUCACUUAUGGAUGGACCCGCGUCGCAUUAGCUAGGUGGUGAGGUAACGGCUCACCAAGGCAACGAUGCGUAACCGACCUGAGAGGGUGAUCGGCCACACUGGGACUGAGACACGGCCCAGACUCCUACGGGAGGCAGCAGUAGGGAAUCUUCCGCAAUGGACGAAAGUCUGACGGAGCAACGCCGCGUGAGUGAUGAAGGCUUUCGGGUCGUAAAACUCUGUUGUUAGGGAAGAACAAGUGCUAGUUGAAUAAGCUGGCACCUUGACGGUACCUAACCAGAAAGCCACGGCUAACUACGUGCCACCAGCCGCGGUAAUACGUAUGUGGCAAGCGUUAUCCGGAUUUAUUGGGCGUAAAGCGCGCGCAGGUGGUUUCUUAAGUCUGAUGUGAAAGCCCACGGCUCACCCCGUGGAGGGUCAUUGGAAACUGGGAGACUUGAGUGCAGAAGAGGAAAGUGGAAUUCCAUGUGUAGCGGUGAAAUGCGUAGAGAUAUGGAGGACCACCAGUGGCGAAGGCGACUUUCUGGUCUGUAACUGCCCCUGAGGCGCGAAAGCGUGGGGAGCAACCAGGAUUAGAUACCCUGGUAGUCCCCGCCGUAAACGAUGAGUGUUAAGUGUUAGAGGGUUUCCGCCCUUUAGUGCUGAAGUUAACGCAUUAAGCACUCCGCCUGGGGAGUGCGGCCGCAAGGCUGAAACUUCAAGGAAUUGGCGGGGGCCCGCACAAGCGGUGGAGCAUGUGGUUUAAUUAGAAGCAACGAGAAGAACCUUCCCAGGUCUUGACAUCCUGUGACAUCCCUAGAGAUAGGGCUUCUCCUUCGGGAGCAGAGUGACAGGUGGUGCAUGGUUGUCGUCAGCUCGUGUCGUGAGAUGUUGGGUUAAGUCCCGCAACGAGCGCACCCCUUGAUCUUAGUUGCCAUCAUUAAGUUGGGCACUCUAAGGUGACUGCCGGUGACAAACCGGAGGAAGGUGGGGAUGACGUCAAAUCAUCAUGCCCCUUAUGACCUGGGCUACACACGUGCUACAAUGGUCGGUACAAAGAGCUGCAAGACCGCGAGGUGGAGCUAAUCUCAUAAAACCGUUCUCAGUUCGGAUUGUAGGCUGCAACUCGCCU
RNAcentral lists this ribosomal RNA (1229 nucleotides) under Bacillus luti. Its description in RNAcentral is "bacterial SSU rRNA". It matches the Rfam family "Bacterial small subunit ribosomal RNA", at positions 103 to 1317 of the family's 1533-position model. The record is from RNAcentral. Lineage: Bacteria; Bacillati; Bacillota; Bacilli; Caryophanales; Bacillaceae.